GACGAACGCUGGCGGCGUGCUUAACACAUGCAAGUCGAACGGUGAAGCGAGUGCUUGCACUCGUGGAUCAGUGGCGAACGGGUGAGUAACACGUGAGUAACCUGCCCAUCACUCUGGGAUAAGCACUGGAAACGGUGUCUAAUACUGGAUACGACCAACCCUUGCAUGGGGUGUUGGUGGAAAGAUUUAUCGGUGAUGGAUGGACUCGCGGCCUAUCAGCUUGUUGGCGGGGUAAUGGCCCACCAAGGCGACGACGGGUAGCCGGCCUGAGAGGGUGACCGGCCACACUGGGACUGAGACACGGCCCAGACUCCUACGGGAGGCAGCAGUGGGGAAUAUUGCACAAUGGGCGAAAGCCUGAUGCAGCGACGCCGCGUGAGGGAUGACGGCCUUCGGGUUGUAAACCUCUUUCGGCAGGGAAGAAGCGAAAGUGACGGUACCUGCAGAAGAAGCACCGGCUAACUACGUG
RNAcentral lists this ribosomal RNA (469 nucleotides) under uncultured bacterium. Its description in RNAcentral is "partial 16S ribosomal RNA". It matches the Rfam family "Bacterial small subunit ribosomal RNA", at positions 28 to 507 of the family's 1533-position model. The record is from RNAcentral.